This 433-nucleotide ribosomal RNA is filed under the name uncultured bacterium. RNAcentral describes it as "partial 16S ribosomal RNA". It matches the Rfam family "Bacterial small subunit ribosomal RNA", at positions 29 to 507 of the family's 1533-position model. The record is from RNAcentral.
AACGAACGCUGGUGGCAUGCCUAACACAUGCAAGUCGAACGAUGCCUUCGGGCAUAGUGGCGCACGGGUGCGUAACGCGUGGGAAUCUGCCUUUCGGUUCGGAAUAACUCAGGGAAACUUGAGCUAAUACCGGAUAACGUCGCAAGACCAAAGAUUUAUCACCGAAAGAUGAGCCCGCGUAGGAUUAGCUAGUUGGUGAGGUAAAGGCUCACCAAGGCGACGAUCCUUAGCUGGUCUGAGAGGAUGAUCAGCCACACUGGGACUGAGACACGGCCCAGACUCCUACGGGAGGCAGCAGUGGGGAAUAUUGGACAAUGGGCGAAAGCCUGAUCCAGCAAUGCCGCGUGAGUGAUGAAGGCCUUAGGGUUGUAAAGCUCUUUUACCCGGGAAGAUAAUGACGGUACCGGGAGAAUAAGCCCCGGCUAACUCCGUG